AAUGUUGGCAGCGAUGAAAUGUAAAUGUAAUGACGGACGAGCGAAGUGUUGUAAAUCGCUGGGUGGCUGACGGACUAACGUCCUUACGGCCGCCUGCGUUCAAUUUCAGUAGCCUAACUCCACGGAGGACCUGCCCAUGCCCACACAGUAACGUGACCACUCCUAGCUGUGCGAGUGGUCGAGCGACAGCAGACAUGCCUUGGGCGCCUGGAGCCUCGGGUAGCAACCCUGCCGACCCCGCCGACCCUGCCAUGAUUUGGGGGUGGACGUCGCGCUAUCCCCACUCCGGGGCCGUUGGUGCGGGCGGAGAUCGCUAGAGCAGCCUUGAGCGGGCUCCACGUGGUUGAACCCCGCCAUGCUGCAGGGAUAGGCGGGUCACGGCAGUAGGAACCUGCCUGCGCCUGACGCCAGACGACUUGCUGGCAUCUAGUAAGGGAGUGUUUGGGCAGAGGGCGACACAACAGGGUUUGAGAUUAUUGUUGUGCACCGUGCCACGGGCCAUAUUCACAACAAAAUAUUGUGAUAUCAUGUAUGUAUUAUUAAUUUAAUUACUUGUGUAAAUCAGUAUUGUUAAACAGUGUUAUGUAAGUAUUGUUUUAGGUGUGUAACUAAAUAUUUCUGCUGAUAUAAUGCUUUUCACGCUUUAGUUUGACAUGGGUAAUUAUUUGUCACGAAUGAUUAUUUUAUUUGUUAAAUCACACACCACAAGUGUGUAAAUAUGUUAAGUCCAACUACGAGGCUUGAAUAUUUCUCGAUCGGAUUGUAGCUGUGGGCGACUGUGGCUCAACGAAGUAGCAUUCAGCUAGGUCCUAUUCGUAUGCCGUGUUGUCGCUUUCACAUGCCAGAUACCUACCUCAAACUACACACUUCCAUUUGGGCAAUUAGUUAAGAUGCAUUAAGUACCAAAUUAUUGGUAAGCUUCAAGUUGAAGAAUUAUUUGAAAUCAAAGUUUGUUUUAAAUGUACGAGAAAAUUUUUUUAAUUCAAAUAAUUUACAAUUU
Bacillus rossius redtenbacheri is the source of this 1000-nucleotide long non-coding RNA. RefSeq lists it as uncharacterized. Lineage: Eukaryota; Metazoa; Arthropoda; Insecta; Phasmatodea; Bacillidae. The transcript is spliced from 3 exons. The record is from RefSeq and is a predicted model, not a curated record.